GACGAACGCUGGCGGCGUGCUUAACACAUGCAAGUCGAACGGAAAGGCCCUGCUUUUGUGGGGUGCUCGAUUGGCGAACGGGUGAGUAACACGUGAGUAACCUGCCCUUGACUUUGGGAUAACUUCAGGAAACUGGGGCUAAUACCGGAUAGGAGCUCCUGCUGCAUGGUGGUGGUUGGAAAGUUUCGGCGGUUGGGGAUGGACUAGCGGCUUAUCAGCUUGUUGGUGGGGUAGUGGCUUACCAAGGCUUUGACGGGUAGCCGGCAUGAGAGGGUAACCGGGCACAUUGGUACUGCGAUACGGACCAGACUCCUACGGGAGGCAGUAGUGGGGAAUAUUGCACAAUGGGGGGAAGCCUGAUGCAGCAACGCCGCGUGCGGGAUGACGGCCUUCGGGUUGUAAACCGCUUUCGCCUGUGACGAAGCGUGAGUGACGGUAAUGGGUAAAGAAGCACCGGCUAACUACGUG
Molecule: ribosomal RNA, 468 nt
Filed under: uncultured bacterium
Lineage: Bacteria
Description: partial 16S ribosomal RNA
Rfam family: Bacterial small subunit ribosomal RNA
Source: RNAcentral